RNAcentral lists this ribosomal RNA (324 nucleotides) under uncultured eukaryote. Its description in RNAcentral is "partial 18S ribosomal RNA". It matches the Rfam family "Eukaryotic small subunit ribosomal RNA", at positions 1470 to 1796 of the family's 1831-position model. The record is from RNAcentral.
CCCUUAGAUGUCCUGGGCUGCACGCGCGCUACACUGAUGCGUCCAAUAAGCACCUAACCUAAUCCGAAGGGACCGGGUAACCUUAGCAAAGCGCAUCGUGAUGGGGAUAGAUUAUUGCAAUUAUUAGUCUUGAACGAGGAAUUCCUAGUAAGCGCAAGUCAUCAGCUUGUGUUGAUUACGUCCCUGCCCUUUGUACACACCGCCCGUCGCUCUUACCGAUUGAGUGAUCCGGUGAAUACUUCGGACUGCAACCGGUGCGGUUUCCGUACCCUUUGCAAAAAGUUGAAUAAACCUUAUCACUUAGAGGAAGGAGAAGUCGUAACA